Molecule: long non-coding RNA, 245 nt
Filed under: Xyrichtys novacula (pearly razorfish)
Lineage: Eukaryota; Metazoa; Chordata; Actinopteri; Labriformes; Labridae
Source: RNAcentral
AACCGAGACCUAAUGGUGCUGUGACAGCAACGUGAUUGAGUUUGAGACAGUGAAAAUACAUAUGGUAUGUUGUAUCUGAACAGGUUAGCUUACGAACUAAAGUUACUUAGCACAGAUGAAAGUUAAAACAAAGACGUUUAGCAAACUGUUAAAGCACACAAACCAUCGUCAUAUGAGAGAUCCGACGCUAUGACUCUCCACAAGUUGUCCUUCAGGUCAUUAUCUUUGUAAUGUUUGUGUCUUUU